RNAcentral lists this unclassified non-coding RNA (1074 nucleotides) under Hevea brasiliensis (rubber tree). Lineage: Eukaryota; Viridiplantae; Streptophyta; Magnoliopsida; Malpighiales; Euphorbiaceae. The record is from RNAcentral.
CACACACACACACACACACACAAGGCACACUCACGCCUAGAGCAGUCUCCUUGCCUUAUUCACACGUACUCACUUGAAUACUCAAACACACACAAGUGUUUCCCUUUAACUCACCAUCAUUCUUGCACAGUUGCACUUGUGCUCGCCGCACUUUCAUUUGUACACUUAACACGCAAAGGCUGCAUAUGUCGGUUUAACACGUGACCUCUCUUAUGGCGGUGGCAUGUAAAAUUCUAGAAAGAAAUUUCUGGAGAGGUAGAGUCGGUAAACUUUUACUUGUUGGCUAAGUAUUUGUAGAGAGGAUUCUGAAUUAAUGGGGAGAAAGAGAGACGUCAGUGAUAAAUUUCUUCAAUAAAAACUACAAACUUAAGCUGUGUGAAAUCUUUAAGAAUGAGUUCUACAAUACCAUUCUCUACCGAGCUCUAUGAUAUCACUAGAAGAAUCAGGAAAAAUACGAGUUCCUAUGCCAAACUCCAAAACUUAAGAAGUAAGCCAAACUGCACAAAACUACCUGCGGUUUGCGAAGCAAAAUAAAGAACACUACAUCUCUGCAUGAAUUACAGCAAGUAUUGUCCAAAUUUUGCGCAAACCCUCCCAAGCAAGAGUUAACAUACUGAGGCAACCCUCCAGGUCCCUCUAUAAAUAACAAUCCUAAUUAGGAAAGCUAUCUGCACUAAUUUUUAUCUACUCUAUAGGAGGUGGGUCUCAAAGCAACAACCUAAGCUACCUCUUCAGUUUGCAGGAAAUUAACUCUAAUGUUACAAAUGAGCCUUGGCCAUAGAAUAGAAGUUGUGAAAUCCAAAAUGCUCUCCAAAGUUCAUCACCUUUUCUUUUUGUUAAUACCUAUAAACUCACAUCCCUACACACAACUGGACUAACAUUGAGGCAAAGCACAUUGGGAUCAUAACCCAUUAAUGAAAUUAUCCUUAGCGAAACAUGCUCUAGAGCUUGUCUAUUAUUAUUAUUGGAACAACAAAUUUUGGAUUUCUGUGAUCUGAAGGUCAGAAAAUUGACCACUAUCAAUACUAGUACACAUAUACGAAUUGCACAUACAAUGAUCAGAAAUUAGGAACU